RNAcentral lists this ribosomal RNA (138 nucleotides) under uncultured bacterium. RNAcentral describes it as "partial 16S ribosomal RNA". It matches the Rfam family "Bacterial small subunit ribosomal RNA", at positions 355 to 509 of the family's 1533-position model. The record is from RNAcentral.
UGGGGAAUAUUGCACAAUGGGGGAAACCCGUGAUGCAGCGACGCCGCGUGAAGGAAGAAGUAUCUCGGUAUGUAAACUUCUAUCAGCAGGGAAGACAAUGACGGUACCUGACUAAGAAGCCCCGGCUAACUACGUGCC